UACAGGGGGGGCAAGCGUUGUUCGGAAUUACUGGGCGUAAAGGGUUCGUAGGUGGCCAACUAAGUCAGACGUGAAAUCCCUCAGCUUAACUGGGGAACUGCGUCUGAGACUGGAUGGCUUGAGGGAGAUAGAGGUGAGUGGAACUUAGGGUGGAGCGGUGAAAUGCGUUGAUAUCCUAAGGAACACCAGUGGCGAAAGCGACUCACUGGGUCUCUUCUGACGCUGAGGCACGAAAGCUAGGGUAGCGAACGGG
This 253-nucleotide ribosomal RNA is filed under the name uncultured bacterium. RNAcentral describes it as "partial 16S ribosomal RNA". It matches the Rfam family "Bacterial small subunit ribosomal RNA", at positions 524 to 776 of the family's 1533-position model. The record is from RNAcentral.